GGCGGACGGGUGCGUAACACGUUGGGUUGAUCUGCCCUAAAGUGGGGAAUAAUCCCGCCAACGCGGGACUAAUACCGCAUGUGGUCAGCCAUUCAGUUGGUUGACCAAAGUCGCAAGACGCUUUAGGAUGAGCCUGCGGCGGAUUAGCUAGUUGGUAAGGUAAUGGCUUACCAAGGCGAUGAUCCGUAGGGGGCGUGAGAGCAUGACCCCCCACACUGGCACUGAGAUACGGGCCAGACUCCUACGGGAGGCAGCAGUGAGGAAUAUUGCCCAAUGGGCGAAAGCUUGAGGCAGCAACGCCGCGUGAGGGACGAAGGCCUUCGGGUCGUAAACCUCUUUUCUGAGGGACGAGAUCAGGACGGUACCUCGGGAAUAAGUCUCGGCUAACUACGUGCCAGCAGCCGCGGUAAAACGUAGGAGGCGAGCGUUAUCCGGAUUUACUGGGCGUAAAGCGCACGCAGGUGGCUUC
RNAcentral lists this ribosomal RNA (469 nucleotides) under uncultured Bacillota bacterium. Its description in RNAcentral is "bacterial SSU rRNA". It matches the Rfam family "Bacterial small subunit ribosomal RNA", at positions 97 to 582 of the family's 1533-position model. The record is from RNAcentral. Lineage: Bacteria; Bacillati; Bacillota.